Molecule: ribosomal RNA, 253 nt
Filed under: uncultured bacterium
Lineage: Bacteria
Description: partial 16S ribosomal RNA
Rfam family: Bacterial small subunit ribosomal RNA
Source: RNAcentral
UACGGAGGGUGCAAGCGUUGUUCGGAAUUAUUGGGCGUAAAGGGCAGGUAGGUUGUCUAGUAAGUCUAGUGUGAAAUCCCCGAGCUUAACUUGGGAACUGCGCUGGAUACUGCUGGACUAGAGUGCUAGAGGGGUUCGUGGAAUUCCCGGUGUAGCGGUGAAAUGCGUAGAUAUCGGGAGGAAUACCGGUGGCGAAGGCGGCAUCCUGGACCAAUAUUGACGCUGAGGAGCGAAGGCCAGGGGAGCAAACGGG